Rattus norvegicus (Norway rat) is the source of this 14922-nucleotide non-coding RNA. NCBI's taxonomy places the organism in Eukaryota, Metazoa, Chordata, Mammalia, Rodentia, Muridae. The record is from RefSeq and is a predicted model, not a curated record.
UAUUGUAGUACAACGUUCUUAAGCUUAUGAAAUAUUUAGAUUUCAAUUAUAAAGUAAUUAUUAAAUAUGCCUACCCUGAGAGAUGUAUGAGAUAUUUUUUCUUCAUACAUGUGUGAAGAAUGAAGUUUCUUAGGGAGUUUUGAGUUCCCUGGCACUUUUUCCUUUCAUCCAUCCUUCCCUGCCACACUAUUUUUAUUUCAUGACAGCUGUCAUUUCUACUGUGAGGAUUUUCUCAAAAUACCUAUGCACAGGAUAUCUUUCCAAACUAAAUAAUAUCCUCCCAGACAUGUUUACUUCUUGCCCUGAAGUCUGAUAUCUAUACCUUUUUUACAGAAGAAAUUUAAAUUGGAGUCAGAAAUAGGAUUUCUCAUUACAAAAAUCUUAAAAUAAGGAUAUUAUCUUUGAUUAUACAGAUCAGUCUUAUAUUAUCACAUAGAUUUAUAAACUAGCAUGUGGGCACAGGGGAGACAAUGACUUUCAAGAGGAAAGAAAGAAACAGAAUUUUCUCUGGGGAUCGCAGAAGGAGUUCCAACAACGUUUGGAUUGUAGAACAAUGAAAUUAAUUCUGAACCUCCUGUAACUGGAGCCGUAAAGCAGUAAGCUUUUGUAAUUUAUGUCACGAGCCUUCAGAAUGGUUAGAGCAGAAACAGGGAAUCAAUACGAUUCAAUUUCAGUAACUAGAAAAUUACUAAUAGUUACAUAUGCAACCAGUGAAUGCUUUCCUAAGCAUGCUGAUAUAAGAGAACGGCACAACUCUGGCAUUUGGGGAUCUUCCUUCUGAACUACAGAGAAGUCUGUAUUUGGAUUCAAGGCUUCAGGUUUUGCUUUGCUUUGUUUUGAUUUUGUUUAUUUACUUAUUUUUUCCUAGAACCAUUGUCGACUUUUUAAUUCUCUCCAGGUUUUUUUUUUUUGGAUAUUUCCAUGGAAAUACUCAUACAUACACAUAAUUAUGUUUACAGUGAGCCAAGCAGAUUGCGAAGGGCUGGUCAAAGAUCAAAGAUAGGAAAGACCAUACUGACCGUACGGUAGGUCAGCAUCAUGUGCUGUUCUCCCCCCAGCGCUGAGUUCCCCGGCUAACAACUCAGACUCAAACUAUAUUUACAAAUACCUAGGCCUUAGAGCAAGGCUUCUUCCCUGACUAGCUAAUAAUUUGAAAUAACCCGUUUAUAUUAGUCUACAUUCUGCCACAUGGCUGGUUACCUGUACUCCUGUGCCCUCAUAUCCUUCCCAGUGACUUUGCUACUUUAAUUAUACGUGACGAUGUAGAUAGCUAAUGGUCUGAGUAAAUACAAUUGUCCCUUUUUAAAGUUUCUAUGGAGACUGUAAAAUUGCCACUUAUGCAUGGAACGACUUGAGCUAAAAGGAAGCCACAUGAAAACCAUGUACUUCCCUCACCCCUUUUUAUUUAUUUUUUGUAUGUGAGUACAUAGCCACUGUUCUCAGACACAACAGGAGAGGGCAUCAGAUCCCAUUGCAGAUGGUUGCGAGCCACCAAGUGGUUGCUGCCAAUUGAACUUCCAGGAACUCUGGAAGAGCCGUGAGUGUCCCUUUUACUGUAAUUUUAUUUUUGACUUUCCUAUAGAAUAAAUCAAAUUCUGUGCUUGAGUAAGCUAAGCAGCCACAGGAAAGGAGAACUGGUCACUUAAUCAAAGGAUCCAAUGGAGAAGACUUUUCUUCUUGGUUUAAUAGUUUAAGGUAAUCAUGGGAACAGAAACAUUAGCUCUUCUUUGUACUCGUUUAUUAAAAUGUCGGACUUAGGAAUUCUAUCUACACACCACUUUAAAACAGGUUCUUAGGACUAGUCAAAGUAUGAAAAAUAAGUACCAGUGGAAUACUCAGUCACAAAUGAGACAACUGCAUUGCCCUUUCCCCAAGGACCGAAGUAGGGAGAGGAGUGGAAAGAUUGAGUCAGAGAUUGGGGAAGACCUGAGUGAAAGCCGUACCUUCUGGGCUGCACAGGACCGCUGCACUGACAAACUCUUAGUAGGGAAAGCUAAUUGUAGAGUUUCCUAAUGAGCAGUGUGGCACAUUCCUUUACAGUCUCAGCACCCAUGUGACUUUGAUGAAUCUGAAAUCUCAGAGAGAAGAUUUGUUUCAUAAUAAGCUUUCAAAAUCAUUUACAUAGCCACUGGUUUGUUUCUCCCAUAAAGAGGAGCAUGGAGAUAGGUAAGGAGAAACCUGGGUGGGUAGUCCUUGCCUGGCAUGCAUGAGGCUCAAUCCUAAAAACCCUCUGUUAGUUUCUACUUAAUCUUUAAUUAAAGUAUUUUAUUUAGUUACAUAAAAACAUACAUAGUUGCCCCCUUCCUGACCCCCCUGCAAGAGUUCUUCACCCCAUCUCCCUUCCCCUUUGCCUUUGAGAUUCACCUACAAUUCACCCCAAAUAAACACCCACCCACCCCCACCUAACCCUCCUUCCAGCAUCCCCCUUCUCUGAGGCAUCUAGUCUCUACAGGAUUAGGCACAUAUCCUGCCACUUAGGCCAGAAAAGGAAGUCCUUUGAUAUAUUAUGUGCUAGGCACACACCAGCGCAAGUAUACUCUUUGGAUGGUGGCUUAGGCUCUGGGAGCUCUGAAGGGUCCAGGUUAGGUGGUACUGUUGUUCUUAGGUGUUGCCAUCCCUUCAGCUCCUUCACUCCUUCCCCUAACUCUGCCAUAGGGGUUCCUGACCGCAGUAGAGUGGUUGACUAUAAGUAUCAGCAUCUGUCUCAGUCAGAUACUGGUAGAGUCACUCAGAAAACAGCCAUGUUAGGCUCCUGUCCACAAGCACAGUGGUAUGGAUGGAUCCCAAAUUGUGAUGCUCACUAGACGGCCCUACCUUCAGUCUCUGCUCCAGUUUUAUCCCUGCAUUUCCUUUAGACAGCAAUAAUUCUGGGUCAAAUAUUUUGGAGACAACCAGCCCCAUCUUUUCAACGGAGGCCCUGUCUAACUACUACAGGUGGUCUCUUCAGGUUCCACUUCCCCACUGUUAAGCAUUUCAGCUAAUGUCAUGCCAAUGAGUCCAGGGAUCCUCUGGCAUCCCAGGUCUCAAGGAUGUUCUAGAUGUUCUCUCUGCCCCUCCAGCCCCCGCCCAGAUCCUGCAGCUGCAUAUUGCCAUUCAUUCUCCUGGUCCUCUGGCCUUUGCUCUGGUCUAUCCCUACAUCUGACUCUGCUCCCUCUCCCUCCUCCCUCACAUGUUCCUACAUCCCUCUGUCUCCCAUGAUUAUUAUGUUUUUUCUUUUCCAUACUGAAAUCCCCUAUUCCAACCCCGCUUCCCUGGCUUCUAUAAAGGUGGUCCCCCACCCUCCAACUUCCUCCUGCCUCCUUGCCCUGGCAUUUCCCUACACAGAGGCAUCAAGUCUUCAUAGGAUCAAGGGCCCCUCUUCUCAUCGAUGCCCUAUAAGGCCACCUCUGCAACAUAUGUGGGUCCCUCCAUGUGUACUCCUUGGUUGGUGGUUUAGUCCCUGGGAGCUCUGAGGGACAGGGUCUGUUUGGUUGAUAUUGUUGUUCUUCCUAUGGGGCUGUAAACCCCUGGAGCUCCUUCAUUCCUUUCUAUAACUCCUCCAUGCAAGUCCUAUUCUCAGUCUACUGUUUGGCUGCUAGCAUCAGACUCUGUAUUUGCCAGGCUCUGGCAGAGCCUCACAGGAGAAAGCUGUAUCAGGCUCCUGAUAGCAUGUACUUCUUGGCAUACACAAUAGUGUCUGGGUUUGGUGACUGUAUAUGGGAUGGAUUACCAGGUAGGUCAGUCUCUUUCCUUCAGUCUAUGCUCCAUACUUUGUCUUUGUAUUUCCUGCUAUGAGUAUUUUGUUGCUCCCUCUAAGAAGGACUGAAGCCUCCACACAUUGGUCUUCCUUCUUGAGCUUCAUGUAGUCUGUAAGUUGUAUCUUGGGUAUUCCAAGCUUUUGGAGUAGUGUCUAUCUAUCAAUGAGUACAUACCAUGUGUGUUCUUUUGUGACUUCGUAACCUCAUUCAGGAUAUUUUCUAGUUCCAUUCAUUUGUCUGAGAAUUUCAUUAAGUCAUUGUUUUUAAUAUCUCCAUUAUGUAGAUGUACCACAUUUUCUUUAUUCAUUCCUCUGUUGAAGGACAUCUGGGCUCUUUCCAGCUUCUGGCUAUUAUAAAUAAGGUUUCUAUGAACAUAGUGGAAAAUGUGUCAUAGUUAUAUUUUGGAGCAUCUUUUGGAUUUAUGCCCAGGAGACAUAUAGCUGGGUCCUCAGGUAGUGGAAAGUCCAAUUUUCUGAGGAACUUCCAGACUGAUUUCCAGAAUGGUUGUAUCAACUUGCAAUCCGACCAACAAUGGAAGAGAGUCCCUCUUUCUCCAUAUCCUCCUAUCUGUUGUCACCUGAGUUUUUGAUCUUAGCCAUUCAAACUGAGGUAUGAGGUGGAAUCUCAGGGUUGUUUUCAUUUGCAAUUCCCUGAUGACUAAGUAUGUUGAACAUUUCUACAGGUGCUUCUGGGCCAUUUGAUAUUCCUCAGGCGAGAAUUCUUCCUUUAGCUCUGUACCCCAUUUUUAAUAAGGUUAUUUGAUACGCUGGAAUCUAACUUCUUGAGUUCUUCGUUUAUAUUAGCUAUUAGCCCUCUAUUGUGUGUAGAAAUGGUAAAGAUCUUUCCCCAAUCUUUUGGUUGACAUUUUGUUCUAAUAACAGUGUACUUCAUCUUACCAAAGCUUCGAAAUUUUAGGAGGUCUCAUUUGUCAAUUUUUGACCGUGGAGCAUAAGCCAUUGAUGUUCUGUUGAGGAAAUUUUCCCUGUACCCAUGUGUUCGAAGCUCUUCCCCCAUUUUCUCUUCUAUUAGUUUGAAUGUACCUGGUUUUAUGUGGAAGUUCUUAAUCCACUUGGACUUGAGCUUUGUACAUGAUAAUAAGAAUGGAUCGAUUUGCAUUCAACAUUGUGACCUCCAGUUGAGCCAGCAGCAUUUAUUAAAAAUAAAGUCUUUUUUCAGUAGAUGGUUUUAGCUCCUUUACCAAAGAUCAUGUGACCAUCAGUGUUUGGGUUCAUUUUUGGAUCUUCAAUUCUAUUCCAUUGAUCUACCUGCCUGUCUCUGUACCAAUACCAUAUAGCUUUAAUCAUCCCUGACCUGGUCAGGGAUGGUGUUUCCCCAGAAGUUCUUUUAUUUUUGAGGAUAGUUUUUGCUAUGUUGGGUUUUUUGUUAUUCCAAAUGAAUUUGGAAAUUGUCCUUUCUAAGUCUAUGAAGAAUUGAGCUGGAAUUUUGAUGGGGAUUGCAUUGAAUCUGUAAAUUGUUUUCUGUAAGAUGGCCAUUUUUCUAUAUUAAUCCUGCCAAUCCAUGAGCAUAGGAGGUCUUUUCAUCUUCUGAGAUCUUCAAUUUCUUUCCUCAGAGAUUUGUCAUACAGACUUUUCACUUGCUUGGUUAGACUCACACCAUGGCAUUUUAUAUUAUUUAUGACUAUUUUGAAGGACGUCAGUUCCAUAAUUUCAUUUUCAGCCUGUUUAUCCUUUGAUUAGAGGAAGACUACUGAUUUAUUUGAGCUAAUUUUAUAUCCAGCCACUUUGCUAAGGUUGUUUAUCAGGCUUAGUAGUUCUCUGGUGAAACUUUUUCGGUCACUUAAGUAUACUAUCAUAUCAUUUUCAAAUAGUGAUAUUUUGACUUCUUCCUUUCCAAUUUGUAUCCCUUUGACCUCCUUUUAUUGUCUGAUUGCUUUUGCUAGGAUUUUGACUACUAUUUUGAAUAAAUAAAGAGAGUGGGCAGCCUUGUCUAAUCCCUGAUUUUAGUGGGAUUGCUUCAAGUUUCUCUCCAUUUAGUUUGAUGCUGGCUACUGGUUUCCUAUAUAUUGUUUUUAGUAUGUUUAUAUAUGGGCCUUGAAUUCCUGAUUUUUCCAAAACUUUUAACAUGAAGGGGUGUUGAAUUUUGUCAAAUGUUUUCUCAGCAUUUGAAGUUGAUAGAAGAUCUUUCUGACGUGUUCUUGGAUACACCUUGUGCAAAUUUUAUUGUGUAUUUUUGCAUCGGUAUUCAUAAGGAAGUUCUGAAGUUCUUUUUUAGGGGGGCUUUGGGUGGUUUACAUCUGAGCACAAUUGUGUUUUCAUAGUGUGAAUUGGGUACUGUUCCUUCUGUUUCUGUUUUGUGGAAUAGUUUGAAGAGUACUGGCAUUAGGAUUUCUUUGAAAGUCUGAUAGAAUUUGCACUAAACCUAAUUAGUCCUUGGCUUUUUUAUGGUUGGGAGACUUUUAAUUACUUCUUCUGCUUCUUUAGGGGUUGUGGGGCUGGUUAGAUUGUUUAUCUGAUCCUGAUUUAAUUUUGAUACCUGGUAUCUGUCUAGAAAAUUGUUUCCUCCAGAUUUUCCAAGUUUUUGUUUGUUUGUUUUUUGAGUAUAAGCUUUUGUAGUAGGAGCUGAUGAUUUUUUUAAUUUCCUCAGUUUCUUUUUUUAUGUCUCCUUUUUAAUUUCUGAUUUUGUUAAUUUGAAUACUGUCUCUGUGCCCUCUGAUUAGUCUGGCUAAUGGUUUAUGUAUCAUACUUCAUGUUGCUUUUGUGAAAGUAACAACCUCUGGUUUUGUUGAUUCUUUGUAUAGGUUUUUGUUGCUGUUGUUGUUGUUGUUGUUGUUGUUGUUGUUGUUGUUGUUUCUACUUGGUUAAUUUCAGCCCAGAGUGGGAUUAUUUACUACCAUCUACUCUUCUUGGGUGUAUUUGCUUCUUUUUGUUCUAAAACUUUCAGUUUCACCGUCAAGCUGCUAGUGUAUGCUCUCCUGUUUCUUUUUGGAGGCACUCAAAGCUAUGAGUUUUCCUCUUGGCACUUCUUUCUUUGUGUCAGAUAAAUAUGUGUAUGUUGUGCUGUCAUUUUCAUUAAAUUCUAAAAAGUCUUUAUUUUUUCUGUAUGAUAUCUUCCCUUGAUCUUCUGGCUUUCAUAGUCUCUGGUGAGAAGUCUGUAGUAUAAUUCUGAUCGGUCUGCUUUUAUAUGUUACUUUAACUUUGUCCUUUCAUGCUUUUAACAUUCUUACUUUGUUUUGUGCAUUUGAUGAUUAGGCUAGUAUAUGACAGGAGAAAUAUUCUUUCUGGUUCAAUCUAUUUGUGGUUCUAUAGGUUUCUUGUGUGUUCAUGUGCAUCUCUUUUUUUAGGUUAGCAAAGUUUUCUUCCAUAAUUUGGUUGAAAACAAUAAUAAUUUGGGAAUCUUCAUUUCAUUCUGUACCUAUUAUCCUUAGGUUUGUUCUUCGUAUUGUGUUCUGGAUUUCUUGGAUGCUUUGGGCUAGGAGCUUUUUGCCUUUUGCAUUUUCUUUGACUGUUGUGUCAAUAUUUUCUAUGGUAUAUUCUGCCCCUGGGAUUCUCCAUUCUAUCUCUCGUAUUCUGUUGGUAAUGCUUGUGUCUAUGUCUCCUAAUAUCAUUCCUAGGUUUUCUAUCUCCAGGGUUGUCUCCCUUUGUAAUUUCUUUAUUGUUUCAAUUUUUAUUUUUAGACCCUUGAUUGUUUUGUUCAAUUCCUUCACCUGUUCAUAUAUGUUUUCCUGGAAUUCUUUGAGGGAAUUUUUUGUGUUUCCUCUUUAAGGACUUCUACCUGUUUACCUCUAUUGUCCUGUAUUUCUUUAAGGGAGUUAAUUAUUCAUGUCCUUCCUAAAGUCCUCUAUCAUUGUCACGAGAUGUGAUUUUUAAAUCUGAAUCUUGCUUUUCCGAUGUUACAGGUUAUCCCAACUUGUUAUAGUGGGGGAACUGGGUUCUGAUAAUGCCAAGUGGCCUUGUUUAUCUCUAGUGCUACCUGCCAUUGUUGUCUUUACUGGACCCUGUUCCUCCUGUAAUCCUGGAUGUGUCGGAACUCCUCAGAGUCCAGUUGUUUUUGUGUUCCUGUGAUUCUAGGAUCCCAUGAUCCUGACUGAGAUCCUGGGUGUGUCACAGCUCCUGGGAGUCAAGCUGCCUCUGAGAUCCUGAAAUCCUGGUGUAACCAAGCUCCUGAGAUCCUGUUGUGUCAGAGCUCCUGAGAGUCAAGCUUUUUCAGGGUGUAACAGGAGGGGUGGGGAGCCAGAACCCUGCAUUUGCUCUGGGCACUGGUUCAGACUGCAAGGCGCAGUGAGUGUUCUGAAAAACCGAGCCAUCUCUAGAGCCCUGUGUAGCUUAGGCUGGCCUCAAAUUCAUAAUCCUCCUGCCUCUGCCUCCUUUACCAAGUCAUACUGGUGUGUGUCACCACAAUCACCCAGGUUUUCUUUAUUCCCACAUAACUUUAUAUUCAAUCAAAUAUGUUUUAUAAAUAUAUAAAUUCUGUCUGAUUUUUGACACAUAAUAUAGCACACUACAAAGGCCUCCAGAAAAAUAUCCAAGCCAUCCUUGCUUAUUGUAUCAAUAUGUGUUCCCUUUUUCCAAUAAAACUAUAGAGUCACUAAAUAAAUACUGGGGAUUAAAACAGCUCCUUUUUAGAUCUUUGGUAAAUCUCAAUUUAUUUCUACCACUGUUAAAUUUGCAACAAUAAUUAUAUUACUAUUUGUUAAAUGUUGCAUGAUAAAGAGCUAUCAUUCUCAAGGUUUACUUUUCAGUAGUUUUCAUAAUUUUCUCUCUUUUUGCUCCCAAAAAUAUUAUGUUAGUAAUUUCUCUAUAAUAUACAUAAAGCAUAAAGACAUUAGAGUUCAGAAAAUAUAAUUAUCCAAAAUGUUACCCAGACAGAUAAUUUAAAAAUGACUCUUAAUUUUACAUACAUAUGUGCAAAGCCAUUUACUCUUUUUUUUUUCCCCCGGUUCUUUUUUUCAGAGCUGGGGACCGAACCCAGGGCCUUGCGCUUCCUAGGUACUCAAGAGAAAUGGAUCAGUAUCAUUCUCUGCUAUACAGCAAACCCUGCUGAUAAACCUGAAGUAUAAGACCUCUGUAAACUGCCCUAAAGAAGAUAUGACUUUAAGAUAAAUGCAGUAGGACACACCCCUCAUCAAUGAAUCUUCUCUUUGCAGCAAGUAGAAGUCAUCACAGACAAUGUAACGUAAACAAUACAAAGUGGCCAAAUUUAAGUUCUAAACACAUAAACAGAAAAUGGACUUAGAAGAGACAAAAGGAUCCUGGUGUCCGCACGUGUUCUUGCUGGCGAGAAGAUAGCGCGGGAUAUUUGGUGCCGAAACCCGGAACAAACACCUCACCAUCGCCGGCACCGAGGAGAGCCUCCGUUCGCGGAGAGGGUCCAGAACUGCAGGUCGAAAGGUAAGCUCUGAGAGACAUGUUUGGUCUUGAUCUCUCUCGUCUCUCUCCCCCAUUAGAAGAUGCGGUGGAAGCUUUUGUAUUGUUUUGGCAGGGCUCAUUCUUUCUCUUUUGGUUUUUGAUUUUGCGGCUGCUGCUAGGCACAGUCAGAAAUCAUGCUUAGAAGAUGAGAAAUGCCGCCCAACAGUAAUAGCAGGACAGGGAGCGCUAUGGGAGUUACAGGACAGCAUGUCAGAAACAGAGAGGAAUGAAAGAUUAAAGAGCUCAAAGAGAAAAGGUGCACCUAAGAAAAAAGGCCCUUCCAAGGACCUUGGAUCCGAGGAAGUGAGAGAUAAGGGAAAGACACCCUGGGAGAGAAAAAGGGAGGAGAUAAAAGGAACACAGUAUUUUGGGAGAAAAAUUUUGUCUUUGUGCUUGUAAAAGGUGUGAUUGGGCUCUGGAAACUUCACAGAGUCAUACUGAUCAGAUUUGAUAGAGGUAGACCGCCUGAAACAUUUAUUCAGGAGAAUCAAACAAAAAGAUAUCUCAAUUUUCCUACCCCCUACCCCCAAGGACAUCUCAACGCCCAUACACAUCUUGAUGGAGUUAAUGUAAUUGGGUUGUGAGUGGAAAUAUUCAGGACUGUGUUUCACUUCCAUACCAUUUGUGAAUGUCAGUCGUGCUGCUCAGAUAUCCCAUAAUAUAUCUCAGUAUCUUACAGGAAUUUGGUUUCAACACAUUGAUGGACGAGUCCAGGAAUUGAGACAAUCCAUCGUCCAUAUCAGCUCCACUCAAGUGGAUGGUCACCGUGGAAGUGGUGGGAAAGGGGAAAUCCUACCUCUCUGCUGACUCCUAUUGGAAUCUGGGUCCCUUUGGUGGGACACCAUCUAGUUUUUCCCUGUAUGUGUAUUGUCUGUCCUUGGUGCACCAAGCUGUCCAUGUCUGUCAGUUUAUGUCUGUGGUUCUUGCUUCUCGUUGUUUAAAUGUUUUAUGUUUCAUGUUCAAAAGAGAAAAUGGUAAAAACUUUAUCUGCCAAUCGUUCACAUCUUGAUUUGGUUUUAACUCGUUUCAAAAAAGGAACCAAUGAAUAAAAAGCAGUUUUAAUCAGUCCUUGGAGCCCUGUAUCUGUAGCCAGGAGGCUAGGUCAGCUGGAGAAGCUGUCCGGGGAUGAGCAUCUGCAUGAGCUGAUUAUUAGACUUAGCAGGUGACAAGGUGCUUCUCUUAAAAUCACAGCUAGAAAAGUCAUAAUGGUGUUUGGUCUAAAUAUUAAAGAUAUGUGUAGCCACUUCAAUUUUGUUUCUCAUUGGUUUUAAAUGUAUAAAUAUGCUCUACAUGUCUUGGUUAUGGACUAUUGGCUUUUAUGUUAUUGGAUAUGGUUUAAAAGGUGUAAUAUUGGUAACAAAAAGUUGACAUAAAGCUGAUAAUAUGGAUAAAGUCAUUCUAGACAACAUGUGACAUGAGCCAACCUAGGGAAACAAGUCUAAAUUGAGAUAAUAUUUUUAUGGAACUCUUAUCCUAGAAACCAGGCUUCUAAAAGAAUUUAGGACAAUGUCUCUUUCUUGAGGUAUUGGAAACCGCACCAUCGUGCGUUGAUAUGUAGGAAUUGACAGUCAAACUUUGUAGCAUGAAGGAUAGACUCGGUGUCUUGGAGACUAGAUUUCAGAGACUAGAUUGUUUGUUGGAGGUUGAGUUUUGCUUUCCAAAGUUGUGGUUUGCCCUGAAGUUAUCUGUAUUUUAAUGCUAAUUCCACUGCCCCAAGGACAGCUGCGUAGUCACUACUCAAAACUCAGGUGACCUUGUGGUUGUGCUCUGGUGUUACAAGGAGAACUUAAGGAUUUGAUUAAGGAUUGCCAGUGUUACAUUGACUAACUCAAACUUAUUUAUAAUUGAGGAAAAAUCAAACAGGUAGAAAUUGUUACAGGAUUUACAAAGGAUUGAUGAGGUUUUAGAACUUGUGAGAGCAUUACAGCCAGUUUCCUUACUCCAACUGCCAUUUCAAGACAGAUUUAGAGGAUUGAUUUUAUGCAAUUUGUUUACGUCAUAGCAAUUGUGAGUUUUCAUUUCAUGAGCUUGCUUAUAAUUUUAGAGAGCCCAUGAAGUGAUAUCAUUAAAAAUUUUACAAAAGAAUGGCUAAUAGCCUUAUAUUAUGUAAUUUUGUUGCUUCUUCAAUGUAAGAAGUUAGAACUUUGAAUCUUUCAGUGUAUAUGGAAAUUUUUACUACAAAUCUUUGCUCUCAAAAUGAGCUUUAAUAUUUGGGGAGUAGCUGUUACACUACUCCAGAAAAGAAUAUUUGAAACUAAUUUUAAGCUUCUAAGGAUGUGUUAAUUGCCAAAAUACCUCACCUUACGAGAGGACUUAAGCCUUUGUUAUCCUCAUUGGAGAUAAAGCUUCAGUUGUAUUAAUACAUAAUUGUAGGCUAGAGUCAUGGAAGUAUUUUAAAAAGAAACCUGGUGAAACAUACCUUAUUCCAAACAGCAAUCAAAUUGGUUAUUACAAAAUACUGAUAUUUGGCCUAUUACAUAUACAAAUUUUUCAGGCAAAAUUGAUAAUUUUACUCUUUGCAUGCUUUUGUAUUUCCUGUAUAUUUGUGCAUGCAACCCAUAGGAAAUGCGCUUACUGUAUCUAUAGGUGGUUCAUCUAAUGAAAAGGCUACAUGUAUGAUUGGAUCACUUGUUUAUUCUCUUGAGUUUCCCCUGCUUCAACACAGACUAUUAAAUUACGUGCUGUAGCCACUGUUUUUAAAAUGUUAAAAAAUCAAGCUUUCAAUUCAUAUACUGAUAGCCAAUGUGUGGCUUGUGGUUUCACAAUUGAUUAAAAAGUUUUCCUGUUUUUUUUUUUUUUUUUUUUUAGAUACUACUAACCCUUAAAUUUUACAAUUAGUUAAUGCCUUAUUGGAGACAAGUUUUCUACAUGAAAUCAGUGAGUGAUGAUUUCAGUGUGAAUGUCUGACAACUCACUGUCCUUUCAGUGCUCUGGCUCAGACAACUAAACAAAACCAUAGACCCAGCUCUUUGAAAAUGAUAAUGGAGCUGAUAACACACCCUCAGGAAAAGAGGAAGACUCCAUUUGCUUACUUUCAACGCCCAGCCUCACCCUGCCAACUCAGGGAUUUCUAAAUAAGGCUAAAUCUGGACCUUGUUUACAGGAUUCGGCAUUUCUAAUUAAUGCUUAAAACUUGUGAGGUGCUGGAGAAAUGGCUUAGUGGUUAAAAGCACUAAGUACUGUUCCUUUGUAGGCCAUUUGGGAACUCAAACUAGAUUGCCUGGACCCCUUAACGAGGGAGGACAAUGAUACUAGACAGUUUAUAUCUUAAUAAAUAAAAAGGGGGAGUUAUAUCCCUGUAUGCUAUGUAUGCUAUACAAUUAUUUAAUAAUACUCCUUUUAUUUCCAAUUUUAAAAUUUGGAUGCCAAGGAACUCUGAGUGUUUAUGGCACCCUACAACUAGGCAUACUUCUGCAUUUGGCAUGAUCCUGUCCAGGUAUUUUAUAUGGGAAGAGGGAAUGUUUGUGUUUUUUCUACAGGAUUCUACAAGAGUAUGCCAGCUGCCAGAGGUGGUUGCUGAGACUUGCUGAUCCUGGGAGCAUGAAGAUUCAGCUCUCGUGGUUCGGGUCCCUGGAGUCAUUCCUGUGUCCUUGGAGGAAGACGGAAGAUUCCCCCACAUCUUUUGUCAUCACAGAGAUUUUGACUUUGCUGCAAUCAUUGUGUCCCAUCCCACCAGGGCCUGCACUCCAACCCUCUGUGCACUGCUGCUUGCUGGAGAAGAUUGGAUUCCAGCUGUUACCCCUGCCCCCCUCAUUCCCCUGGUGACUCUUGCUGCCUUAGUCAUUUUGCAGUCUGUGGCUUCACAGGAAUGCCAUCUGCGUGAAACUGCUGUGGACUGGGGAACUCUGCCCUGGUUGUGCAGAUCUCAGACAUGGUUCCAUUGCCUGCUGGUUGUUCCAGAGAAGAAUGACUGAUCCUAAACUGUCCUGGGAAAGACCUUCUUACUUUCGCUGCUAUUGUAGCAGCCAUUAUUGCUGCAGGCAUUGUGUCUGCAGUGUCUAGAGUUACCCUCCCCUAAUCUAUUGUUAGGCAAACACAGUGGGUCAACUUUCUGGAGUAGUUGCUAACAAUUGGGAAUUCUAAAUUUUAUUAUAGGAGCAGCCCUUGAUGGUAGCAGCUGAGGAGAUCCAGAUGAGGUGCCCACUACUUAUCAGGAGUGGCUCUGUUUGGUGCAGCCCUAUGCUGUGGAUUAGUGUUUAUGCGAUGGUUGGUUUGCAAACUCAGAUCUCAAAAGAAACAUUACAAGGUCGUUAUUACUCAAGAACUUGUGACCAUUGAACAAGGGGCCUCCCCUGAAAUUUGGUUAUCUAUCCUCAAAAAUUAGUCGACAUCUGAGUUCUCUGCUCUUGCACCCCAUGGAUUUGUGGAUCCAUUGCACUGGGAUGAGAGAGACUCAAUGAUUCUUUGAUCAUCCCUUCUACAUCGCUGAGGUUUCCUCAUUGCAUGCGAUAGGGUGAUCAUGAUUUCCCCACUAACUCAUUUUCUGGCUGGCCUCUUUUGUAGAGUUCGCCCUAGGUCGUUUAGCAGUUACUGUCACACAGCACUGCGGUAUCCAGAGAUGGGCAACUUUCCUCAUGCACAGACCAAUCUAAGACAUGGGGCCCGGUGGCGAUAGGGUUACCCUAUGACAGAUAAGGCUGUGACAUUAGAGGAACGACCUAAGACAGUAGCCACAGCAGAUGGACGUAACUGCAGAGGCCUAGACCAGCCUCAUUCUAGUAAAACAAAAAGGGGGAGAUGUGGAAAGCCGCAAUAACAUUCGCCAUCACAAGAUGGCGCUGGCUUCCACUGCGCCAGCCCGACUUCCUUUCAGGAAACUAGCUGUGUGCUCAUGUGCAAGAGUGUGUUCGCACCAAGUCUUUGCCCACCCCGGGGCGUGCCAGUGAGAUCAUGGGUAAGCGACCAAUCAGGCAUGGACGCGCUGUGCUAGGGUUUUUUUUUUUUUUUUUUUUUUUUUUGGUUCUUUUUUUCGGAGCUGGGGACCGAACCCCGGGCCUUGCGCUUCCUAGGUAAGCGCUCUACCACUGAGCUAAAUCCCCAGCACCAGUGCUAGGGUUUUAUAAGCAGCACCUUUCUGGGCCCCGGUCUCUCCUCUUCAAGAUGUAAUAAACGCUUUGCUGCAGAAGGAUCCUGGUGUCCUCGCCUGUUCUUGCUGGCAAGAUGAUAGCGCGGGACACCAACCAAAAAAAAAAAAAAAUUACCAGGACCAGAUGGGUUUAAUACAGAAUUCUAUCAGAUCUUCAAAGAAGACCUAAUACCAAUACUCUUCAAUCUAUUCCACAAAACAGAAACAGAAAGAAUACUAUCCAAUCACUUUUAUGAAGCCACAGUUACACUUAUACCUAAACCCCACAAAGACCCAACAAAGAAAGAGAACUUCAAACCAAUUUCUCUUGUGAAUGUGGAUAACUAAAUACUCAAUAAAAUGUUCACAAACUGAAUCAAUGAACACACCAAAAGGUUCAUUCAUCAUGAUCAAGAAGUCUUCAUCCCAGGGAUGCAGAAAUGGUUCAAUAUAUGGAAAUCCAUCAAUGUAAUCCACUAUAUAAACAAACUCAAAAAAAAAAAACAAACAUGAUCAUCUCAUAAGUUGAGGAGAAAUCAUUUGGCAAAAUUCAACACCCUUUCAUGAUAAAAGUUGGGGAAAGUUCAGGAAUUUGAGGCCAUAUUUAAACAUAGAUAUACAGCAAACGAGUAGCCAACAUCAAGCUAAAUGGAGAAGAACUUGAACCAAUUUCACUAAAAUCAGGGACUAAACAAGGCUCCCCAUUCUCUCCAUACUUACUCAAUAUAGUACUUGAAAUCCUAGCCAGAGCAAU